GGUUAAGCGACUAAGCGUACACGGUGGAUGCCCUGGCAGUCAGAGGCGAUGAAGGACGUGCUAAUCUGCGAUAAGCGCCGGUAAGGUGAUAUGAACCGUUAUAACCGGCGAUUUCCGAAUGGGGAAACCCAGUGUGACUCGUCACACUAUCAUUAACUGAAUCCAUAGGUUAAUGAGGCGAACCGGGGGAACUGAAACAUCUAAGUACCCCGAGGAAAAGAAAUCAACCGAGAUUCCCCCAGUAGCGGCGAGCGAACGGGGAGGAGCCCAGAGCCUGAAUCAGCAUGUGUGUUAGUGGAAGCGUCUGGAAAGGCGCGCGAUACAGGGUGACAGCCCCGUACACAAAAGCGCAUGUGCUGUGAGCUCGAUGAGUAGGGCGGGACACGUGGUAUCCUGUCUGAAUAUGGGGGGACCAUCCUCCAAGGCUAAAUACUCCUGACUGACCGAUAGUGAACCAGUACCGUGAGGGAAAGGCGAAAAGAACCCCGGCGAGGGGAGUGAAAAAGAACCUGAAACCGUGUACGUACAAGCAGUGGGAGCACCCUUUGGGGUGUGACUGCGUACCUUUUGUAUAAUGGGUCAGCGACUUAUAUUCUGUAGCAAGGUUAACCGAAUAGGGGAGCCGGAGGGAAACCGAGUCUUAAUUGGGCGUUAAGUUG
Molecule: ribosomal RNA, 659 nt
Filed under: Salmonella enterica
Lineage: Bacteria; Pseudomonadati; Pseudomonadota; Gammaproteobacteria; Enterobacterales; Enterobacteriaceae
Description: partial 23S ribosomal RNA
Rfam family: Bacterial large subunit ribosomal RNA
Source: RNAcentral